AAGAGUAGUUUUAGCCCUUGCCGUGAGUAGAAGUAAAGAGAAGCUGUUGUAAUAGGAGUAGCCCUUGCCCCAAGAAGAAGCUGCUGGGGAAGAGAGAUGUAAAAGAAAAAGCCCGAAGGUAAAGUGCUGCGUGAACCCGACUUGGUGUCUGUGUCGUUUGUGUCGCCGCUGGCCCAGAGGACCAAACGAUACCCUGGUCCAGUGAGUCUUUGCUCUCCUCAGUCUUAGAUCUGCUUCCUCACACAGCACAAUCAAGGCAUUGUGGACAUAUGACGUCAUGAUUGACAUUAGACUCUAAUGUCUCACCCUGCACAGUGGUCUCUGACUUUCCUCCUCAGAGAGGCAGGUGACCCUAUUAUGUAAUCACAUUUGCUACAGCUGUUUCCAAACAGGUCUGCGUUGAUGUUUUAAAAAGGAUAGAGUUUUAAGGGACACUCAUCCUAUCUGGCCAAUACUUGUGAUCAGUGGCACAGGCAGGUCUGACUUUCUCAGAAUCUCCAUGUUCUGUUACCUGACUCACGUGUCUGAGGGCAGUGACAUCAGGAUGUCCCCACACUGAGAGGUGUCCCCAGCAGCUCAUACAUGUGAUGUUGGACACUUGCAGCUGUGUAGGCAGAGGAUAUAAGAGGGUUUGGCUGGGACAAUGGCAACUUUAGGUGGUGCAGAAAACACAGUCAUCAAGGAACACAGCCCUCUGCCUUCAGGGUGAUUGCAACAGCUGACUAGACCACCAUGAAAGAUCUGGGGAGAUGGAGCUUUGGGAGGCACAUGCCAGACCAUACUCUGUUCUCAUUGCUUCAGAUGGUGUCUGGAGCUGCAGAGAACUUCUCUCAGGCUGGAAGAUAGUCUGUUCUGCCAUGGUUAAGAGGGACCAGCUGCAGAGAUUUGUACUUCAGGGAAAUAAAUGUGUCCUUGCUAGCAAAGACUUUCCUACCAUGCAAGUGACUAGAUUGCCUCUGAGGCCACGUGUAUUCGUGACCAUCUCUAAUGUCCUUUACAGAAAUUACACCUAAAGGGCAUUCCCCCAUCUCCUUGCUGGCAGAGAGAUGCCUUCUUCAGGUGGAAUGGAUUGCUUUUCUAGAGUAUAGUUUUGUAACCACUUGAGGAGAGUCAAGCCUUAUAGGUGUAGGCGUCAAAGCGGCAUUAAUAAAGCUGCGCUCUUAUUAAUAAUAGGUGGUAGCGUUCUGAGGAGAAUGGAGUGCAGUCCUAACAAGAAGCGGCAGAACUGGGCAGAAGACAUAUGGAGUGUGCGGCAGAGCAGGACAGCCAUGCACCAAGACACUAGGGAAUCCAAGAGGAGCAGCAAAUCAAGCCUCCAACCCCAGGGAUCUAACAUGCCAAUACAGCGGCUUCUAUGGUCAUGUUCUCCCCUGCCAGCAUGACUCCCUGCUGAAAUCUUCCUCUGAACCAUUGCAACUAUAAGCCAGAGAUGAGCUGUCACGUGAGAUCUAAAGAACCUGGAGUAUAUUCUGGAGCUCAGUUAGUACCUGAGGUUUGGCGUAUCUAGAAACUCAGCCAGCCUGGCUGCGGCAGAACAGCGUGGGACAGGGGAAGCAUCAGGGCUCAGCCUUCACAUCUAUGACUAAGCUUCCCCGGCUUGCCCGGUGACCGCUAGAAGGCUGUUGAAACUCUGGUGAAACUGUGGUAUUUAUUUUUUUAAAGUAGCUUUAUUGGGCUGAAUUUUAUUAAUUGGUAUGCAACAAACAAUAUAUAUUUGAAAUAUGAAUUUCAGUGAGAAUAUUAAUUCCAUAUGCACUUAUGAACCCAUGUGCUCUUUUGAUGGUAAAUCAGUCUGAAGUUCUGAGAUGUUUGCAUAACUGGGUGAUGCCGUUUAUUACUCUUUUAAAAAAUCUAGGUGCUUUCAGAAAGUGGAAUGAAUACGGCUCAUCGGUGUUAGAUACAUCAAAAGCUGGUGCCCUCUUGUACGGAGCCACGUCCCGUUGUAUGGCAAUGCCCCCUAUUUGUUUAUCCGCAUGUUCACAAACAUCUGACCAGUUGCAAGCUUUUUCAGAUAAGGUGACACAAAUGUCACUGUGCACAUGUUUUUACUGACCUCACCACUUUCUCUUGGGUAAAUACCUCGGAGUGGAAGUUCUGAAUCCUGUGGCUGCCACAUGUUUUAUUUGUUUAAGGCUCUGAAACAAUAUUUUCCAAGGUGAUUGUGCCAUUUCUCACCUCACCCACAGGCAGACUUCCAGAUCCCUCUGCACACUCACAAAUGCUUGCCUUGGCUGGGGUCUUUAUCUUAGCUGUUUAUUUCUGGAUUCAGUUCUAUUGACUUAUGUGUCUGACUCCAGAUGUCAGGCCACUAGGUGUUCAUCUUAGAACAUCAUGGUGAGUUUUUAAGUUGGCUAUGUGAGACCUCCAGCUUUGUGCCUUUUUGGAAAGUUAUUUUGUGCGAUCCAGGUCUUCUCAUUUCCACAUGAAUUCUAUCGUCCGUUUUCCACUCUCUUUCCUCUCCCUCUCCCUCUCUCUGCCUUCUAACAUACCACAUACACACCUAGCUAGGACCUUGGCAGGUGUGGACUGAACCUUCUGAGUUAGCUGGGGGACAAUUGGCUCUAUGAACAUUGAUCUAAGUAUGCAUUUAUUUAGCAUAUCUUAUCAUUUCUCUCGGGAAUGUUUUAUAAUUUUCAGUCUUUCAAAUGUUUUAUCAGAUUGGUCCUUAUGAAAUUUGUGCUUUAUACUAUUAAAAUGGUAUUGUGUUU
Molecule: long non-coding RNA, 2708 nt
Filed under: Mus musculus (house mouse)
Lineage: Eukaryota; Metazoa; Chordata; Mammalia; Rodentia; Muridae
Description: long non-coding RNA chr17:15241010-15243718
Source: RNAcentral